Molecule: unclassified non-coding RNA, 105 nt
Filed under: Chryseobacterium gambrini
Lineage: Bacteria; Pseudomonadati; Bacteroidota; Flavobacteriia; Flavobacteriales; Weeksellaceae
Description: Flavo-1 RNA
Source: RNAcentral
UUCUAGCCGCGAUAGAAACGGUUACCCCGCAGCGGGAACAGGAAAAGUGAGGCACUAACCCGGGAAGCAAGGCGCGAGGAGUAAGAGUGGAUAGCGGGAUAAAGC